Molecule: ribosomal RNA, 498 nt
Filed under: uncultured bacterium
Lineage: Bacteria
Description: partial 16S ribosomal RNA
Rfam family: Bacterial small subunit ribosomal RNA
Source: RNAcentral
GACGAACGCUGGCGGCGUGCCUAAUACAUGCAAGUCGAACGAGAGCGACCGGUGCUUGCACUGGUCAAUCUAGUGGCGAACGGGUGAGUAACACGUGGGUAACCUGCCCACCAGAGGGGGAUAACAUCCGGAAACGGAUGCUAAAACCGCAUAGGUCUUCGAACCGCAUGGUUUGAAGAGGAAAAGAGGCGCAAGCUUCUGCUGAUGGAUGGACCCGCGGUGCAUUAGCUAGUUGGUGAGGUAACGGCUCACCAAGGCCGUGAUGCAUAGCCGACCUGAGAGGGUGAUCGGCCACAUGGGGACUGAGACACGGCCAAAACUCCUACGGGAGGCAGCAGUAGGGAAUCUUCCGCAAUGGACGCAAGUCUGACGGAGCAACGCCGCGUGAGUGAAGAAGGUGUUCGGAUCGUAAAACUCUGUUGUUAGAGAAGAACAAGUGCUAGAGUAACUGUUAGCGCCUUGACGGUAGCUAACCAGAAAGCCACGGCUAACUACGUG